This 207-nucleotide ribosomal RNA is filed under the name uncultured bacterium. Its description in RNAcentral is "partial 16S ribosomal RNA". It matches the Rfam family "Bacterial small subunit ribosomal RNA", at positions 568 to 774 of the family's 1533-position model. The record is from RNAcentral.
CACGUAGGCGGCUCGGCAAAUCAGUCGUGGAAUCCCGUCGCUUACCGGCGGAACGGCGGCUGAAAAUACCGGGCUCGAGGGCGUGAGGGGUCACUGGAACUCCUGGUGAAGCGGUGAAAUGCGUAGAUAUCAGGAGGAACGCCGGAGGCGAAAGCGAGUGACUGGCGCGUUCCUGACGCUGAGGUGCGAAAGCUAGGGGAGCAAACA